Molecule: ribosomal RNA, 279 nt
Filed under: uncultured bacterium
Lineage: Bacteria
Description: partial 16S ribosomal RNA
Rfam family: Bacterial small subunit ribosomal RNA
Source: RNAcentral
UGCCAGCCGCCGCGGUAAUACGGAGGGUGCUAGCGUUGUUCGGAAUUACUGGGCGUAAAGAGCAUGUAGGCGGAUGAAUUAGUCAGAGGUGAAAGCCCCGAGCUCAACUUGGGAACUGCCUUUGAUACUGUUUAUCUAGAGUCCGAGAGAGGUUAGUGGAAUUCCCAGUGUAGAGGUGAAAUUCGUAGAUAUUGGGAAGAACACCAGUGGCGAAGGCGGCUAACUGGUCCUCAACUGACGCUGAGACGCGAAAGCGUGGGUAGCGAACGGGAUUAGAUA